This 1215-nucleotide ribosomal RNA is filed under the name Staphylococcus aureus. RNAcentral describes it as "bacterial SSU rRNA". It matches the Rfam family "Bacterial small subunit ribosomal RNA", at positions 1 to 1197 of the family's 1533-position model. Lineage: Bacteria; Bacillati; Bacillota; Bacilli; Caryophanales; Staphylococcaceae. The record is from RNAcentral.
UUUAUGGAGAGUUUGAUCCUGGCUCAGGAUGAACGCUGGCGGCGUGCCUAAUACAUGCAAGUCGAGCGAACGGACGAGAAGCUUGCUUCUCUGAUGUUAGCGGCGGACGGGUGAGUAACACGUGGAUAACCUACCUAUAAGACUGGGAUAACUUCGGGAAACCGGAGCUAAUACCGGAUAAUAUUUUGAACCGCAUGGUUCAAAAGUGAAAGACGGUCUUGCUGUCACUUAUAGAUGGAUCCGCGCUGCAUUAGCUAGUUGGUAAGGUAACGGCUUACCAAGGCAACGAUGCAUAGCCGACCUGAGAGGGUGAUCGGCCACACUGGAACUGAGACACGGUCCAGACUCCUACGGGAGGCAGCAGUAGGGAAUCUUCCGCAAUGGGCGAAAGCCUGACGGAGCAACGCCGCGUGAGUGAUGAAGGUCUUCGGAUCGUAAAACUCUGUUAUUAGGGAAGAACAUAUGUGUAAGUAACUGUGCACAUCUUGACGGUACCUAAUCAGAAAGCCACGGCUAACUACGUGCCAGCAGCCGCGGUAAUACGUAGGUGGCAAGCGUUAUCCGGAAUUAUUGGGCGUAAAGCGCGCGUAGGCGGUUUUUUAAGUCUGAUGUGAAAGCCCACGGCUCAACCGUGGAGGGUCAUUGGAAACUGGAAAACUUGAGUGCAGAAGAGGAAAGUGGAAUUCCAUGUGUAGCGGUGAAAUGCGCAGAGAUAUGGAGGAACACCAGUGGCGAAGGCGACUUUCUGGUCUGUAACUGACGCUGAUGUGCGAAAGCGUGGGGAUCAAACAGGAUUAGAUACCCUGGUAGUCCACGCCGUAAACGAUGAGUGCUAAGUGUUAGGGGGUUUCCGCCCCUUAGUGCUGCAGCUAACGCAUUAAGCACUCCGCCUGGGGAGUACGACCGCAAGGUUGAAACUCAAAGGAAUUGACGGGGACCCGCACAAGCGGUGGAGCAUGUGGUUUAAUUCGAAGCAACGCGAAGAACCUUACCAAAUCUUGACAUCCUUUGACAACUCUAGAGAUAGAGCCUUCCCCUUCGGGGGACAAAGUGACAGGUGGUGCAUGGUUGUCGUCAGCUCGUGUCGUGAGAUGUUGGGUUAAGUCCCGCAACGAGCGCAACCCUUAAGCUUAGUUGCCAUCAUUAAGUUGGGCACUCUAAGUUGACUGCCGGUGACAAACCGGAGGAAGGUGGGGAUGACGUCAAAUCAUCAUG